RNAcentral lists this ribosomal RNA (229 nucleotides) under uncultured bacterium. Its description in RNAcentral is "partial 16S ribosomal RNA". It matches the Rfam family "Bacterial small subunit ribosomal RNA", at positions 568 to 796 of the family's 1533-position model. The record is from RNAcentral.
CGUGUAGGCGGGUGCGUAAGUCCGGUGUGAAUGCCCUCGGCUCAACCGAGGAAUGCCAUUGGAAACUGCGUGCCUUGAGUGCGGGAGGGGAGAGUGGAACUCUUGGUGGAGCGGUGAAAUGCGUAGAUAUCAAGAGGAACGCCAGUGGCGAAAGCGACUCUCUGGCCCGUUACUGACGCUGAGGCGCGAAAGCCAGGGGAGCGAACAGGAUUAGAUACCCUGGUAGUCC